GGACAGCAAUGCGGGCGUGGGUCCGCCGCUCCCUGCUAAGGAGACGGCGUCGUCGACUCGGCGACGUGAGGUUCGACUCCUCUGCUGUCCG
RNAcentral lists this transfer RNA (91 nucleotides) under Planctomycetota bacterium. Its description in RNAcentral is "tRNA-Ser". Lineage: Bacteria; Pseudomonadati; Planctomycetota. The record is from RNAcentral.